RNAcentral lists this ribosomal RNA (1023 nucleotides) under Bacillus sp. FY1. RNAcentral describes it as "bacterial SSU rRNA". It matches the Rfam family "Bacterial small subunit ribosomal RNA", at positions 8 to 1017 of the family's 1533-position model. Lineage: Bacteria; Bacillati; Bacillota; Bacilli; Caryophanales; Bacillaceae. The record is from RNAcentral. RNAcentral also lists the same sequence under 1 other name.
AGAGUUUGAUCCUGGCUCAGGACGAACGCUGGCGGCGUGCCUAAUACAUGCAAGUCGAGCGGACUUAAAAAGCUUGCUUUUUAAGUUAGCGGCGGACGGGUGAGUAACACGUGGGCAACCUGCCUGUAAGACUGGGAUAACUUCGGGAAACCGGAGCUAAUACCGGAUAAUCCUUUUCUACUCAUGUAGAAAAGCUGAAAGACGGUUUACGCUGUCACUUACAGAUGGGCCCGCGGCGCAUUAGCUAGUUGGUGAGGUAACGGCUCACCAAGGCGACGAUGCGUAGCCGACCUGAGAGGGUGAUCGGCCACACUGGGACUGAGACACGGCCCAGACUCCUACGGGAGGCAGCAGUAGGGAAUCUUCCGCAAUGGACGAAAGUCUGACGGAGCAACGCCGCGUGAGUGAUGAAGGUUUUCGGAUCGUAAAACUCUGUUGUUAGGGAAGAACAAGUACGAGAGUAACUGCUCGUACCUUGACGGUACCUAACCAGAAAGCCACGGCUAACUACGUGCCAGCAGCCGCGGUAAUACGUAGGUGGCAAGCGUUGUCCGGAAUUAUUGGGCGUAAAGCGCGCGCAGGCGGUCCUUUAAGUCUGAUGUGAAAGCCCACGGCUCAACCGUGGAGGGUCAUUGGAAACUGAGGGACUUGAGUGCAGAAGAGAAGAGUGGAAUUCCACGUGUAGCGGUGAAAUGCGUAGAGAUGUGGAGGAACACCAGUGGCGAAGGCGACUCUUUGGUCUGUAACUGACGCUGAGGCGCGAAAGCGUGGGGAGCAAACAGGAUUAGAUACCCUGGUAGUCCACGCCGUAAACGAUGAGUGCUAAGUGUUAGAGGGUUUCCGCCCUUUAGUGCUGCAGCAAACGCAUUAAGCACUCCGCCUGGGGGAGUACGGCCGCAAGGCUGAAACUCAAAGAAUUGACGGGGGCCCGCACAGCGGUGGAGCAUGGUGGUUUAAUUCGAGCACAGCCGAGAACCUACCAGGUCUUGACAUCUCCUGACAUCUACAGAUAGGACGUUCCCC